Long non-coding RNA from Bactrocera latifrons, 399 nucleotides. RefSeq lists it as uncharacterized. Lineage: Eukaryota; Metazoa; Arthropoda; Insecta; Diptera; Tephritidae. The record is from RefSeq and is a predicted model, not a curated record. The transcript has 2 exons.
AGCAAUUUGAAAAAUUGGUGGAGUUAAUGGAGAAGUUUCCAGAAGUCGGAAGAGGAAAGACACAAUUUGGAAACAAUAAAUUCAAAACCAAAGAAUUGUGGGAGAGUGUGGCACUGCAGUGAAAUUGUUCAGGGCCGCCAAGCAGAACUGCCUACGAUUGGGGACGAGUGUGGAUUCACUAUAAGCAAAUUUAAAGAAAAAACUUGCCAACAACAGGAAUAACUUCCUUGCGACUGGUGGUGGACCGUCGCUGAGCCCAAUGGAGGAGAGCGUGGCCCAGCUCAUUCUCAGUCAUUUGAAUUUUAAUCCAUUGGGCACAAAUACGUUGUUCAAUUAUUUUUUAGAACAUCUUUAAUUACUAAAGAUAUCGUUGGUUGCGCCAACCCAAUGUUAAAAUCA